Molecule: unclassified non-coding RNA, 287 nt
Filed under: Hevea brasiliensis (rubber tree)
Lineage: Eukaryota; Viridiplantae; Streptophyta; Magnoliopsida; Malpighiales; Euphorbiaceae
Source: RNAcentral
GCUCACCCACUCCGAUCUUCCCUUUGAUUUCCGGUACAGUUACACGGAGAGCAGCCUGACGGUAAGGCCCAUUGGGCUUAGGGAGCCUAAGUACUCGCCAUUUGGUCCAGGCCGUUUGGACCGAGUAUGGACCGGUGCUUGUGCACCGGCCGUUGACCCGAAGGUGAAGUCAUUGGAAGGGAAGGACUAUCCGAAUUUGGAGGAGAAGAGGAGGAUGAUGAGACAGGAAAUUCAAGGGGAGCCGCUUAACAACGCUGAGAGGAUGAUGAGACAGGAAAUUCAAGGGG